RNAcentral lists this long non-coding RNA (1143 nucleotides) under Nicotiana tabacum (common tobacco). RNAcentral's name for it is "long non-coding RNA (NTAB_LNC015800)". The record is from RNAcentral. Lineage: Eukaryota; Viridiplantae; Streptophyta; Magnoliopsida; Solanales; Solanaceae.
CACUUUAGUACAUAAUUUUCAUGAAUAUUUAAUAAUAAAACGUCUAAUUAUAAUAAGCACUUGACACCACAUACAAGAGGUGCUUCUACGAAGCCCUUGUUUGAACGAGAGAUUCUAGAUUCAUUUCACAAUAAGAAACUCCUUAUUUGAUAUCACAUUUAUUUUUGCAACAAAGAAUUUUCAUGGCAUCUAGCGACAAGUAUAUUUAUAAUAAUUGUAUAUUUAUCACGAUAUUACAAGGUAGAAAAAUUAUUCUUCUAGUUUAUAGUGACACGUAAAUUUUUUAAAUAUCAAUUGUUUAAUAAAAGUGCGCAAGGGUACCUAAGACAAGACUACUAAAUAUGCUUCUUCCAUGGACUACUAGGAUUCUCAUAUCAAUAUUCUAUAUAGAAGAGAGGUACAUUUUGCCAAUGCAUCUCUUUGUCCUUUGUUUUUCAAUACAUAUUAAUUAAUAAGAGAACAUCGAAGGUUCAGGUAGAUAUCAUCGGUUAAAACGUCUCUAGAAAUCAAACUAUGAGAUUAAACUAUGUAACAAUUUAACCUCUGGUUAUUGCCCUCAUGGCCAUCUCUUAGUUUCCUUUUUUGGAUCAUCCCAAAAGAAAAAGAGGUUACGUUGGAUAAUCUCUUCUCCGUUGGGUCAGAUCCAUAUGGAUGGAACUUGGUGCCUUUAUUAUAUUAUCCUAGCUGUAUAUUUCCAAACCUGAAAUAUAAGAAUCACUUUGUUAAGUAAAACAUAUCUACUUAAAAACAAAUACAGCUAAAUAAAGAAUGAAAAAUGCAAAAAUUUUGUAGAGAUAUUUACAUGUGUUUGGAUCAAUACAAAUCAGCUAGAAUAGAUAAUUGGCCCGCAUAUACAAAAACUCCAAAUCCUGAGAACAAAAUAAGAAGAUCUUAAUUUGUAGAUUGUAAUACAAAAAGAACGAAAUGACGAAAAUAAAUAUAUAUUUUUUUGUUUUUCUUGGGGGAAAGGAUAAGAUAAGAAUAUAUACCACCAUGGUGAUUCAUUGAUUCAAUUGAAUUAAAAGAACAAAAGGAAAAAGAAAACCACGCUAUCAUGAGAAUGAUUUUCUUUUUCUUGAUGCGAGUAAUGAUCAACUUUCUUCUUGCAUUAUUGCUUAAGUGUUUUGUUUGUGGGGAGGAGUG